Molecule: unclassified non-coding RNA, 220 nt
Filed under: plant metagenome
Description: partial contains small subunit ribosomal RNA, internal transcribed spacer 1, and 5.8S ribosomal RNA
Source: RNAcentral
UUUCCGUUGGUGAACCUGCGGAAGGAUCAUUACAGAGAUCGUGCCCUUCGGGGUAGACCUCCCACCCUGUGUUAUUUACGUAUGUUGCUUUGGCGGGCCGCCUCCGGGCUCUCGGCUUCGGCCGAGGUGUGCCCGCCAGAGAACCCACAACCCUGUGUUUAGUGUCGUCUGAGUAUUAUCAAAUAAGUUAAAACUUUCAACAACGGAUCUCUUGGUUCUG